GGGGGCGUGGCGGAAUCGGUAUACGCACCGGACUUAAAAUCCGGAGCCUGAAAAGGAUUGUGGGUUCGAGUCCCACCGCCCCUA
Molecule: transfer RNA, 84 nt
Filed under: Rubrobacter radiotolerans
Lineage: Bacteria; Bacillati; Actinomycetota; Rubrobacteria; Rubrobacterales; Rubrobacteraceae
Also listed under: 1 other name
Description: tRNA-Leu (TAA) (tRNA-Leu-TAA-1-1)
Rfam family: tRNA
About the family: Transfer RNA (tRNA) molecules are approximately 80 nucleotides in length. Their secondary structure includes four short double-helical elements and three loops (D, anti-codon, and T loops). Further hydrogen bonds mediate the characteristic L-shaped molecular structure. tRNAs have two regions of fundamental functional importance: the anti-codon, which is responsible for specific mRNA codon recognition, and the 3' end, to which the tRNAs corresponding amino acid is attached (by aminoacyl-tRNA synthetases). tRNAs cope with the degeneracy of the genetic code in two manners: having more than one tRNA (with a specific anti-codon) for a particular amino acid; and 'wobble' base-pairing, i.e. permitting non-standard base-pairing at the 3rd anti-codon position.
Source: Rfam by way of RNAcentral